Molecule: microRNA, 23 nt
Filed under: Drosophila mojavensis
Lineage: Eukaryota; Metazoa; Arthropoda; Insecta; Diptera; Drosophilidae
Description: Dmo-Novel-10_5p (mature (guide))
Source: RNAcentral
UUUCGAGGUAUUAUGUAGUGCUA